GAUGAACGCUGGCGGCGUGUCUAAUACAUGCAAGUCGAGCGAACGGACGAGAAGCUUGCUUCUCUGAUGUUAGCGGCGGACGGGUGAGUAACACGUGGAUAACCUACCUAUAAGACUGGGAUAACUUCGGGAAACCGGAGCUAAUACCGGAUGAUAUUUUGAACCGCAUGGUUCAAAAGUGAAAGACGGUCUUGCUGUCACUUAUAGAUGGAUCCGCGCUGCAUUAGCUAGUUGGUAAGGUAACGGCUUACCAAGGCAACGAUGCAUAGCCGACCUGAGAGGGUGAUCGGCCACACUGGAACUGAGACACGGUCCAGACUCCUACGGGAGGCAGCAGUAGGGAAUCUUCCGCAAUGGGCGAAAGCCUGACGGAGCAACGCCGCGUGAGUGAUGAAGGUCUUCGGAUCGUAAAACUCUGUUAUUAGGGAAGAACAUAUGUGUAAGUAACUGUGCACAUCUUGACGGUACCUAAUCAGAAAGCCACGGCUAACUACGUG
RNAcentral lists this ribosomal RNA (497 nucleotides) under uncultured bacterium. RNAcentral's name for it is "partial 16S ribosomal RNA". It matches the Rfam family "Bacterial small subunit ribosomal RNA", at positions 28 to 507 of the family's 1533-position model. The record is from RNAcentral.